CAAGAGCUAAACGGAAGCAUUUCCCACGGAAGUUCAUAGUGGAACUUUGGAUUUUUGACGUCAAGUGAAUACAGGGCAGCUUUCAACACGAGUGAUGAUUUCCUCCUCUACAUCGCUACUGCCUUUAAUGCGGUUGCCCUCAGGUUCAUAACCAUGACGAAUCCGAAAAUACGCUUCCAGCUUAACGGCAUUACAGUUGAUAAUGAUGACGUCCUUACCAAGGAUGAAGUUUGCUCCGUGCACAACGAAGGAAUACGGCGAAUUGUAAAAGGUGCCACUUGCGGCGUUGACGUUGAAGACACACUGAACAAGACAACGUAUUUCAUAAAUGAGGAUAUGGAAGCCGACAUUGUCUUCCUCCUUACAAGCAAGGACCUGGUCGCCAAGCGUAUAAAACACGACGUCACUAUUCUUAAAGACGUUUUAGGUGUGGCUUAUUUUGGUGGUGUGUGCUCUUCCUGGAACGCUGGGGUUGCUGAAGACAUACCACAAACGUACAGUGGAGUCACAACUAUGGCUCACGAGAUCGCACAUUUAUUGGGCUCGGUACAUGACGGAGAGACUCCAGCUGCCAAGCAUGAGAGGGCAUCCUGGAGCGACAAGGUGUCCUCGUAGCGAGGGAUACCUCAUGGGCGACAAUUCUCCCACGAAGAACGUGUACAGGCUUUCGGACUGCACUAAAGAACAAAUUCGAUACCUGUUCAGGCUUCUACCGCUGAGCUGUAUUAACUUACGAAAGCAGGCGAAUGUCAAGAACAACAACUAUCCGGGUGAAGUUGUCGAUCUCACAAAUUUUUGCCGUGUGCUACACCCAGACGUAGCAAACGUCUGGCCUGAAGACAGGCCUGGCGAUGGCUAUAAAAAGUGCAUGGUUCACUGCUGCUGGGAAGACUAUUACGAAGAG
Rhipicephalus sanguineus (brown dog tick) is the source of this 904-nucleotide long non-coding RNA. RefSeq lists it as uncharacterized. NCBI's taxonomy places the organism in Eukaryota, Metazoa, Arthropoda, Arachnida, Ixodida, Ixodidae. The record is from RefSeq and is a predicted model, not a curated record. The transcript is spliced from 8 exons.